CCUGGUGAUUAUCGUGAGGGGGAAACACCCGUUCCCAUUCCGAACACGGAAGUUAAGCCCCUCAACGCCGAUGGUACUGCCUUUUGGUGGGAGAGUAGGUCGUCGCCAGGU
RNAcentral lists this ribosomal RNA (111 nucleotides) under Spirochaetales bacterium. Lineage: Bacteria; Pseudomonadati; Spirochaetota; Spirochaetia; Spirochaetales. The record is from RNAcentral.